CUAAGGAGCACACCAGUAUGGUGCCCACCAACAGAACCCAUGUGUGGUUCGGGUGGGUUGCUCAAGGGUGGAACAUCACAUACUUCGCUCGCCCAACCAGCCGGGCUGGGGUCAAUGCCCCGGGCACGGUGGGUGGGUGGUCGGAUAGAACAGACACGCUGUUGGGUCCUGGAACCACAAGUGGUUUCACCAGGCACCGACCCAACCCAGAGGCAGCAGCAGUGCUGGUGCUGGCUGGGGUGGUGAUUGGUAGUGGUUUGAGAAUCGUAUAGUGGACGCGAGCAUCAAGCACCAGCCUUUGUGCUGGUGUGUAGUGUGAUUUUCUUUGAGUCAAAAAAUCUUAGUGUGAUAUUUUCGCGCACACUGAUACCAACCUCUAGGGGUGGGUGUGAGUGUGUAAGAGCGCAU
RNAcentral lists this unclassified non-coding RNA (408 nucleotides) under Nocardia nova. RNAcentral's name for it is "16S-23S ribosomal RNA intergenic spacer". Lineage: Bacteria; Bacillati; Actinomycetota; Actinomycetes; Mycobacteriales; Nocardiaceae. The record is from RNAcentral.